AAAGCGCGCGUAGGUGGUUUGUUAAGUUGGAUGUGAAAUCCCCGGGCUCAACCUGGGAACUGCAUUCAAAACUGACUGACUAGAGUAUGGUAGAGGGUGGUGGAAUUUCCUGUGUAGCGGUGAAAUGCGUAGAUAUAGGAAGGAACACCAGUGGCGAAGGCGACCACCUGGACUGAUACUGACACUGAGGUGCGAAAGCGUGGGGAGCAAACAGGAUUAGAUACCCCAGU
This 230-nucleotide ribosomal RNA is filed under the name uncultured bacterium. RNAcentral's name for it is "partial 16S ribosomal RNA". It matches the Rfam family "Bacterial small subunit ribosomal RNA", at positions 562 to 791 of the family's 1533-position model. The record is from RNAcentral.